This 668-nucleotide ribosomal RNA is filed under the name Yersinia enterocolitica. RNAcentral's name for it is "partial 23S ribosomal RNA". It matches the Rfam family "Bacterial large subunit ribosomal RNA", at positions 2263 to 2925 of the family's 2925-position model. The record is from RNAcentral. Lineage: Bacteria; Pseudomonadati; Pseudomonadota; Gammaproteobacteria; Enterobacterales; Yersiniaceae.
GGGUAGUUUGACUGGGGCGGUCUCCUCCCAAAGAGUAACGGAGGAGCACGAAGGUUAGCUAAUCACGGUCGGACAUCGUGAGGUUAGUGCAAAGGCAUAAGCUAGCUUGACUGCGAGAGUGACGGCUCGAGCAGGUACGAAAGUAGGUCUUAGUGAUCCGGUGGUUCUGAAUGGAAGGGCCAUCGCUCAACGGAUAAAAGGUACUCCGGGGAUAACAGGCUGAUACCGCCCAAGAGUUCAUAUCGACGGCGGUGUUUGGCACCUCGAUGUCGGCUCAUCACAUCCUGGGGCUGAAGUAGGUCCCAAGGGUAUGGCUGUUCGCCAUUUAAAGUGGUACGCGAGCUGGGUUUAGAACGUCGUGAGACAGUUCGGUCCCUAUCUGCCGUGGGCGUUGGAAGAUUGAGAGGGGCUGCUCCUAGUACGAGAGGACCGGAGUGGACGAAUCACUGGUGUUCGGGUUGUCAUGCCAAUGGCAUUGCCCGGUAGCUAAAUUCGGAAGAGAUAACCGCUGAAAGCAUCUAAGCGGGAAACUUGCCUCGAGAUGAGUCUUCCCUGGGGCUUUAAGCCCCCUGAAGGAACGUUAAAGACUAUGACGUUGAUAGGCUGGGUGUGUAAGUGCAGCGAUGCAUUGAGCUAACCAGUACUAAUGAUCCGUGAGGCUUAACCUU